GUACAUGUACAGUAGAUGCAGGUGUGUGUGUUUGUCUCUUCCUGUGUAUAUUUCUGGAAGGCAGCACGGAAUGGGUUAAUGUGUGUUUGCUAAUAGGCUAACAUCAUGGGAUUUAUUUCUUGAAUAUGCUGUGUUGUCACUAAAACAGUGUUUUAUAAUCGAAAGGAAACUGAUUCAGUUUGUUUGUAAUGAUGAACAUGUUUUGCUCUUCUUUAACAGGGAGUCUCAUCUCUGAAGAACUGCAUUCUGGGUAUGAAGAUGCUGAUGAGUUUCUCUCAGCAGAAGAGUUCAAUACUGCAUAUUAUGAUGAUGUCACCAAUGGCAGUGGCCUAAAAGGUCAGUGACCUUUUAAAUUGAUCACAUGAUUCAAAUGUUUACAGAGUCUCAGUAUCAUGAUCUGCAACAAGAAUGUUUUUUUUUUUUUUGGCUUUUGUAUCCAAACAUAUUGUGUGUUGAUGCAGAAGAGAUGAAGGAAAUCACACCGGUGUACUAUGAUGAUGUCAUUACUGAUGGACUGAAGCCAGAUCGUGAGACAGGUGUCACUUUGUUAUUUUACAACAGCAUAUAAUAUAUUUUUUAAUUAAAAUAUGACAGUACAUUUAAGAUAGAUAUUUCAAAUUUGUUCUGAAUGUAAUUAUUGUGCGUCUGUGAUGAAUGUGUGAAUUUGUAGAAGAAACACCGGAGAGCUAUGAUGAUGUCAUGACAAGCGGAUGCAACACUGAUAUAAAAAAAGUGGAUGCACCAGAGAAUUAUGAUGAUGUCAUCAUUAAUAGACCUAGCUCUCAAGAGGUAAAAGAGGGAGUUCAGGAGGAGUAUGAUGAUGUGAUGAGUGUCAGUGAAGAUGUGAAAAACCUGUUGGAUUAUGAUGAUGUGGAGUCAAACAAAGAAGUGGGGCAUUCGGCUCAGUGAUCAUCCAUUGCCUCGGUUCAACAAAUCUGAACAAAGUUUGAAUGAUAUUGUUAUUGAUGUCAAAUCUCAGGUUUUUAUAUUUUCCCCCAUUUUUGUUUUAAAACUUUUAAAAGUUCUACAUUAGACACACACACACUCAAAGUCUGUAUCAAAUGUUAUCUUAUGUGAUCAGCUGUUUUUAACCAAUAAAUAAAAAU
Molecule: long non-coding RNA, 1106 nt
Organism: Carassius auratus (goldfish)
Lineage: Eukaryota; Metazoa; Chordata; Actinopteri; Cypriniformes; Cyprinidae
Source: Ensembl